This 82-nucleotide small nucleolar RNA is filed under the name Cariama cristata (Red-legged seriema). Its description in RNAcentral is "Small nucleolar RNA SNORD72". It matches the Rfam family "Small nucleolar RNA SNORD72". Rfam says of the family: snoRNA HBII-240 belongs to the CD family of snoRNAs. The record is from Rfam by way of RNAcentral. Lineage: Eukaryota; Metazoa; Chordata; Aves; Cariamiformes; Cariamidae.
AGCUUGUUAAUAGGAUGUUUCUUAUUAAAAUGUCUGAACCUAUGAACUCUCUAGUGAUUUCGGUGUAUUACUGAGGUAAGCU